RNAcentral lists this ribosomal RNA (253 nucleotides) under uncultured bacterium. Its description in RNAcentral is "partial 16S ribosomal RNA". It matches the Rfam family "Bacterial small subunit ribosomal RNA", at positions 524 to 776 of the family's 1533-position model. The record is from RNAcentral.
UACGUAGGGUGCAAGCGUUGUCCGGAAUUAUUGGGCGUAAAGAGCUCGUAGGCGGUCUGUCGCGUCGGCUGUGAAAACUCGGGGCUCAACCCCGAGCCUGCAGUCGAUACGGGCAGACUAGAGUGCUGUAGGGGAGACUGGAAUUCCUGGUGUAGCGGUGAAAUGCGUAGAUAUCGAGAGGAACACCUGCGGCGAAGGCGGGUUGCUGGGCCGACACUGACGCUGAUGCGCGAAAGCCAGGGGAGCGAACGGG